This is a non-coding RNA of Arachis ipaensis, 2744 nucleotides long. The record is from RefSeq and is a predicted model, not a curated record. Lineage: Eukaryota; Viridiplantae; Streptophyta; Magnoliopsida; Fabales; Fabaceae.
CCCAGUUUGCUAAAUUAUUUCUCCUUUCUCCCUCCAAAAUCGCUUGGAUCUCUUCUCAAGCACAAUUUUUUUUUCCACCAACUAUUCAAUUUCUCUCUCACUUUCCUUCAUUUUCCGUCCUCAGAUCACCGUCACCGUAUUUUAUAUCAAUUCACACUGCUAAUUGACUAAUUGAUUUGAUUCCAAUUUCCAACGCCACAAAGAUCUAGGGUUUCCGCUGAAUCCCGCAGCUCCUCAACCGCAUUCAAUCAUCCAAUCGUUUACACGUUCUUCGAUUCAAACCCAUUGAAAUUCAGCUCGCUACAGUCUCGAAAGAAUUGUAAAAGAAGAAUUUUGAUUGAAAGAGUCGGUGUGAUUUUGAUCUAUCUUUGUGGUGUGACAGUUUUGUGUUCUGGUGAAUGAGAGAUGAGCAUGGAGGUGGUCGUCGAUGCGGCGUCGUUGGACGUCGAGCUGUUGCAGCUACCGGAGCUUUCCGGAUUGGCACUCAAGUCUAACCUCAAUUUCGUCGAGAAGCUCUUCGACCAGUGGCUUUCUCUUCCAGACAGCAAUCGACUGGUAACAUCACUGCUCAAUGAAGCAAAGUCAGGUGCUCCUUUGAACGUCACUGGAAAUUGCUCUAGUCCAAAUGCUUCAAGUAAUUCGUUGCCUUCCAUGUUCCCUGCUGGCACUGCUCCGCCUCUUUCACCAAGAAGUUCAUCUGGUUCCCCUCGCAUAGUGAAACAAAGAGCUGGCCCUUCCAAUUUGAGCUCUCCUUUGAAAGUUGUCAGUGAGCCAGUUAAAGAAGUGAUACCUCAGUUCUACUUUCAACAUGGACGUCCUCCUCCAAAUGAACUGAAAGAACAAUGCAUGUUAAGAAUUGAUCAGUUAUUCCAUGAUCACUUGGAUGGCCUGCAGAUGCAUGAAUUCAAAUUACUUACCAAGGAAGUAUGCAAGCUGCCAUCUUUCUUUUCAACUUCACUUUUCAGAAAGAUUGACAACGGAACUGGUGUUGUGACAAGGGAAGCAUUUAUUGAUUAUUGGAUUAAUGGCAACUUGUUGACAAUGGAUAUAGCAACUCAAAUAUUCACAAUUUUAAAGCAACCACAUCUGAAGUACCUUACUCAGGAUGAUUUUAAGCCUGUACUACGUGAGCUUUUAGCAACACAUCCAGGGCUGGAGUUCCUACAAAGCACACCGGAGUUUCAAGAGAGAUAUGCUGAAACUGUAAUAUACAGAAUAUAUUAUUACAUUAAUAGAUCUGGAAAUGGCCGUCUUACCCUGAGGGAGUUGAAGCGUGGAAACAUAAUUGAUGCGAUGCUACAUGCAGAUGAAGAGGAGGACAUCAACAAGGUUUUGAGAUACUUCUCGUACGAGCAUUUUUAUGUUAUAUACUGCAAGUUUUGGGAGCUGGAUACAGAUCAUGAUUUCUUGAUAGACAAAGAGAAUCUUAUCAGAUAUGGCAACCAUGCACUUACCUAUCGAAUUGUUGAUAGAAUAUUUUCUCAGGUUGCAAGAAAGUUUACCAGCAAGGUUGAGGGAAAGAUGGGAUAUGAAGAUUUUGUUUACUUCAUACUGGCAGAAGAGGAUAAACCAUCUGAGCCAAGCCUUGAAUAUUGGUUCAAGUGCAUAGAUUUGGAUGGAAAUGGAGUUCUUACACGGAAUGAAUUGCAAUUUUUUUAUGAGGAGCAAUUGCAUCGAAUGGAAUGUAUGGCCCAAGAGCCUGUGCAAUUUGAGGAUAUAUUGUGCCAGAUGAUUGAUAUGAUUAAACCUGAGAAUGAACACUUUAUAACUCUGCGCGACCUGAAAGGUGGUAAACUCUCAGGCAGUAUUUUCAAUAUUCUGUUCAAUCUAAACAAGUUCAUGGCCUUGGAAACCCGGGAUGCAUUUUUAAUUCGUCAGGAGCGCGAGAAUCCGACAUUAACAGAGUGGGAUCGAUUUGCUCAUAGAGAAUAUAUUAGGCUUUCAAUGGAAGAAGACGUUGAAGAUGCCUCUAAUGGAAGUGCAGAAGUCUGGGAUGAAUCACUUGAGGCUCCCUUCUAGGAUUUUAUAUUAUUAUCUAUACCAUUUCCUUUCAUCAUUUCUUAAAAAGGUGGACACUUUAAUGAUGAUGCCUUCACAUGAAGAUUACAUUCUGAGCCAUUAGAUGGAUCAAUAUAUUUGACUGAACCACCAAACAAUUUACAAUGUGAUCUUCAUGUGAAGGGGAUGAAAAGAAAUUAAUGCCCCAGAUUUAAUCGACUGGCCGUUGCUCAGAGACAUUGGACUAAGUAUCAUCUCAAACUUUUGCUACCUUAAAUGGGAAAUUCCAAGGUUUUUAUUCUGGCAUGUGUUUUUUUGGAUGGGCAAGCUGCAACAAUAUUCAGAUCUUUCUGGCGGGAGUGAUGUACAUUGGGGCCAUUGGUCAUGGAAAUUUUGUUGCUUUGUGUACAAAUAUAUCCAUGCAAAGUGCUGAGAAGUGACUAGCCCGGUGCUUGAAUUAUAUUGAAAUUGAUAUAUCGUUUUCAGUAUGCUUGUUAUUUGGGGUCACCUAAGUUGUUCCAAGGAAAAUUAAUUGAAAGAUUUUCACUUUUGGACCUUUUUAGUUGUUUUGCUUCAGUGGUCGAGUCACUUUGCCCUCGGAUCUCUCUCCAAGAGUACAUUUUAGUUUUUUGUCUUCUUUUGUUCCCAUCUUGUUAAGCCCAUUAAAGAAUUUAACAGUAAUGAUACAAUAAUUGUAUUUUUCCCCCUACACAAUUAGAUAUCCUUCUAAGAGCUUUUCCUUUCAA